Molecule: ribosomal RNA, 427 nt
Filed under: uncultured bacterium
Lineage: Bacteria
Description: bacterial SSU rRNA
Rfam family: Bacterial small subunit ribosomal RNA
Source: RNAcentral
UGGGGAAUUUUGCGCAAUGGGCGAAAGCCUGACGCAGCGACGCCGCGUGGGUGAUGAAGGCCUUCGGGUUGUAAAGCCCUGUGGGGAGGGAAGAAUAAGGGGCGGCUAAUACCCGCACCGAUGACGGUACCUCCUUAGCAAGCACCGGCUAACUCUGUGCCAGCAGCCGCGGUAAGACAGAGGGUGCGAACGUUGUUCGGAAUUACUGGGCGUAAAGCGCGUGUAGGCGGUCUAGCAAGUCGGAUGUGAAAGCCCUUGGCUCAACUGAGGAAGUGCAUUCGAAACUGCGAGACUUGAGUCGCGGAGAGGAGGGUGGAAUUAUCGGUGUAGAGGUGAAAUUCGUAGAUAUCGAGAGGAACACCGGUGGCGAAGGCGGCCAUCUGGACGGUGACUGACGCUGAGACGCGAAAGCAUGGGGAGCAAACAG